GUUAAUACAGUUGAGCGUCAAGUCUUCUAUCUAAAAACCAUGAAGUUCUCAUCUGCCAUAGUGGUACUGAUGAUUUCUAUCACCAUUCUUUCUUCGAAUGCACAGAUUGUUAGUUCUCAAUUAGCGACACCCCAAGUUGAAGUUGCCCAGCCAACCCCAAUGAACGGAUGUUUUUGGAGUGGAACAUCACCAUUUUGUUUUGGACAAUGUGGCAAUUUUUAUAAUACUAUUUCUGUUCACAAAAGAGGAGACGGAAAAACAUGUUUAACAGGAACAAAGAAGCUGUGUUGUCCUCGAACUGAUUUAUUAACCGGUUAAAUAUAUUUUCUUGUUGAAAUUCACCAUUUAGGACUUUCGUUCCGCUUUCGUUUUUUCACAAGAAAUGUAUUAUUCAGAUUGCAAUAAACUAUGUCAAAAAAUUAAA
Long non-coding RNA from Daphnia pulicaria, 424 nucleotides. RefSeq lists it as uncharacterized. The transcript has 3 exons. The record is from RefSeq and is a predicted model, not a curated record. NCBI's taxonomy places the organism in Eukaryota, Metazoa, Arthropoda, Branchiopoda, Diplostraca, Daphniidae.